This 1004-nucleotide long non-coding RNA is filed under the name Oryzias javanicus (javanese ricefish). RNAcentral's name for it is "lncRNA (ENSOJAG00000008017.1)". Lineage: Eukaryota; Metazoa; Chordata; Actinopteri; Beloniformes; Adrianichthyidae. The record is from RNAcentral.
GGAGGAGCUCGAUAGAAAUUCGACUCAGAGUUAUGGGUGAGAUUUCUGGCCCAGAGUAAGCCCGCCCCUACUUCCCAUCAUCUGUUUACACUCUCACAAACAUAAUUGGUGCAACAAAAAUGGCGAGAAAUAUUGGAGCUGUCCAGCCGUAUAGAUGCAUCUAAUUGCAUAGGUGGAUCCCACCCGGCCUCUAUCAGUAGGACAAGCAGCCGCGAGACACCGGGCAGGGGGUUUCAUCUCUAUUCGCCCAUCAGACGGGGAUUUGAAGCCUGGUUCUUCUCUCUGAUGAGGAAAACCUGGUUCGUUUGUUUUCCUCCGCUUGGUCAAACACAUACAAUACCAUGGCCAUCCUCCAUGAAAUAAAACGAUCGGUGGUCCUGCCAGAAAACGUGGAAAUAGUGUCUAAAGAUGCCAUCAACGUUCAAUAGGUUACAAGAUCAGCCUGAAUGUUCAUUAUUGAGAAUGAACUCACUCAGAUCUUCUUAAAAAGUUCUCCUUUAUUAGCUGACAGUAAUAAUUUAUUUGUGAAAAGUCAAAUUUUUGUUUUUCCUGCUCUGUGCAGAGCAGUAAACAGGCAUCUCGCCCUAUCCAACAUGGCGUCCAGCUUUGCGUAUGCAACAAGCUAGCGUGGCGACUCUAUCUCAUUGAUCGACAGACCAGACUCCUCCCCCUUCCUAGCAGUUAGUUUGUCCGUCUCCAUGGUUACCCGUCGUAAUAGAGGUAGUUGUUGCCUCUUGGUGAAGAGUUCCAGUUGGGUUUAAAUCCGGAGAAGAUGAUGAGAGCGGCCGCUGCUCACACGGAGGAGCUGCGAGACCCGCGGCUCGGUCCGGUCUGCACCGUACCGACUGAGGUGGGCCGCACCAGAACCAGAUACAGGACCGUCCCGUCCAAGAACCACCGUUAUGUGAGUCCAGGAACAUCAAUAAAACAGAAUAAGGCUGCAUGGCCUAAAGUUAAAAUAAAUAAAUAGGUUAAAGGUCUAAUUAAGGACUUAUUUGUUGGUG